ACCUGGGGGCUUCCAGAAUGCUUUCUCACCCAGCUGCUAGCUGGGAGCUGAGCUGUAUUGGUAGUCUUUUCAGCUUGGUGGUCUAAGGGCGGUAGAUGUUCGAAAUGACAGCCGUCCCCUGCCACCACCCCCUCACCAAUCCUGCCUGCUUUCCCCAGGGCCAGUGUCCCAUGAGGACCCAGAAGAGAUGCAGGACUUUUCCCACCUGGCCUGGAAGUGACUCAGCAUCUCUGCUGCCGUCUGUCUGCCUGUCUGUCCAAGACUUCUGGUCGACCAGAGUCCCUGGGCACGUGGGAUCAUAGUUCUGCAACCAUGGAUCAAACCUGCAACCCCUUCAACCACCGCUAACCACCGGAUGACCAGAGAAUGCCCUUGACUGGUGGCUUUAAGUCACUGUUUCGCUGAGCAGCAGCAGGUAACCGGAGGUUUAUGCCGAGAGAACCUCUUUCUGGGACUGGGCUCACCUGACAAGGCUCCCAGCUGCUUCCCUGGCCUGGGGUGUGUCAGGGACAGAGCACAAAGCUCUCCUGCAGCCGCUGGGUGAGGAGGGUUCACCUGGCGACGACUCGCCCGCCUUUCGCCAUUCCUACCUGCUUCUCCCACAGGCUCUUUCUCCCUUGGAGCAGUGCUCAAAGGCUGGUGGAAAACACAUUUGUCACAAAAACAACACUCUGCUCUCAGAGAAGAUCCCACCUCCUCCAGUGUCCCAAUGAAGAGCAAACAACUUAGAUGGGCUCUAGGUCUUUCAUAACCGGGCCUGGGUCGUGAGGCUCUUCUGCCAGCUUUCAUGGAUGGGGACCAUGUUUUCCUGCAUCCUGCCAUUCCUGGCCAUGAAGCCGCCCCUUGGGUAUUCAUUCCUCUGCAGGGGGUGUGUUGUUGACUCGUGUUGAGGGUGUGUUUCCAGGGCACAGUGAAUUCUUUAGACCCCCUCCCACACCCCAGAGGUGUCCACUAUGACCCCACCUCUCAGGGCUGGUGGAGCUGAUUGGGGUGUGUGAGUUUGGGGCAGGGAUGCCAAGCCCAGACUGUGUGAGUGUCUGUCUCUGAGGAUGGUGGGGGAUGGGGAGGUCUGAUGGCUCACAGAGAAGAUGAGCUGCACACACACAGAAAGAGACGCAGGGCUAAGAGUGAGAAGGAAUCCUGCCUGGGUCCCCAGGGCUCCAGCCCUGCCGCCGUUGCUCAGGGCUCCCUGGACCCUGAUGCCGGGCCUCCUGUGCCACUGAUGCUGGAGUCCACUUCUGUCAUUUUCCACCAUGUUGUCAUGCACAGAGCUGCUUUCCCAGAGUCACUUUCCUCGGUUUGUGAUGUGAAAUGGGCCACAAGCCGUCAUCUGGGACCAACUUGCUUGUGUUUGCUGAGCCCAUGGUUAGGUUCAGUCAGACAGAGAUGAGCAGCACAGGGUCCGGCUCUGUGCUCCAUCUUCCCAGUCCCCGUGAGUCGGUAGAGAGCUGCACUGUGGGAAGAUCCUCCAACCCCUCAAAGGACAGGGUGCCAUGGCAACAAUGAAUGCCAGGUCCCGCAUGUACUGAAUUUCCAUGCUUUUAGUUCCAAAGGAGGAAAUUUUAAAAAGCCACCUAAAUUGGCUUUCUCCCUUCAAAGGUUAUGUUCUAUUGAGGGAAAAAUAAAAACAAAGUCACAGAAUUCUCUUUUGCAAGGUACCUUUGCGGUCAUAGUGACAUUUAGAGUGCGUGGAGAGGUCCAAAUAAAAACACAAAAUGUGAAUAAGACUCUGAACUGAUUGGAUGAGGACCAAGUAAUGCUUUUAUUUCAGAUUCCAUCAAUGCCAAGGACAGAGGUUGACUGACAAACUAAUUCAUUCCUCAAGCAAGCAGUGAUGGACUUCCUGCUCUGUCCUAGGAGCCCAGGUCAGACAGAAAGCUGGUGGAGUCUGUUCUUCCACCAGCAGCAUCAACAGAAAUGCAGGUGCCCACUGGCUCUUGCUAGGAACUCAGAGAAGCAGAAGAAAGUGCGAGACACUGCUCACCCCCUCCAGGACUUCAUCAUCCCAGUCGGCCAUGAAAACGUACAUAAAAUAGUAAUAAGCUGCAGCACAAAAACAUAUUCCAAAUUCACAUGGGUGGUGCAGAUGAGACCUAUCUCUGGGACUCCCUGUGGGCUGGGAUGAUCCGGGAAGGCUUCCUGGAGGAGGUGAGCUUUGCCUUGUCCCUUAAAUGAGAGAUUUUUGUUGGGCAGAGAGAUGGAGGGAGGGUAUUCCAAGGAGUGCGUGUUAAAGGGGACCUAGUCUGUCCACAUUUCAGCAGCUUGCUUGACUGGCUCCUUGCCUGGGAAGUCAGGUUGGGUGUGGAUUGUGGUGGCUCAGGGGCUGGACCUUACUCUUCAGGGAAUGGGAAGCCAUGACAAGGUUCAGAAUCAAGAGUGGCGCAUAGGACACCGGGCUCCGUAACGUUCAGCGCACCGGGAGCUGACAGCAUGGCCAGAGCCACGGCGAGGCCAGAUGCCCCAGCAGGAUGAGAAACCCUGGUACUCUCCUGAGGGGUAGAACCCUCUGUAAGUGAUGUAACAAUGAAAGCUGGGGUGGAGAGUCUGAAAUGACCUCUCCCCCUGGGUCUGCAGGGCAUGGUUUUCUUCUGGGAGGCUGACUUUACUAUUUGAUGUGAUGGGGUUCAGGACACACUCCCCCAAAAGACUGCACCCUGACAUAUGGGCCCUCCCAAGCUGGAGGAAUUAGAGAAACGCCAGAAGCAGGCAGUGUGCUCUGACCUUUCACCCCACCCUCCUUCCCUUCUUCCCUGAAAUAGGUCAGAAAACUCCCGUGUGAGAGAUGCCCACACUCUGCCAGGAGGAAGGCAGACAUUUUUAGCACCAGAAAAGGGAAACUGGGAGUCAAGAAAUCAGUGCGAACAAACCCCGUUGAGCUCACUCAUCUUCCCUCUUACUUCUUCACCGCAUGCUGCCCCAGCCCAAACCUCUUGGUGUGGCCGAUUCUUCACUGAUGUGUUGAUUCUUCUUCUACAAGACUCCAGUUCAUUUGCAGAAACCCCAGUGACCACAGGCAUGACCCAGGAGGCCCCAGUGACCACAGCCGUGACCUGGGAGGCUGCAGAAGAGCACGUGAAUGGCCUGAGCCAGGCCACUAUGGUGGCUGAAAAAUGGUGCUGGGCUGCAUCCGCCCACGGGGGAGACAAGAGUAGACGUGUUACGCAGAGGACUUGGGAAACUCAGCUGUCGAGCCUUGCACAUCUCGCGGUGUUGCAGGAGGGGUCAGUACCCUGUGUGUCUGCCCUCCUGGUCACUGUUCUGGGUGUGCUGGGGCCUGCCUGCUGCAAGUACCGGCAGCUCUCCACCAGAGGGCGCUCUCUGGUGUGCUUGGUUAGGGUGGGCAGGUGGAAGUUCGUGUCCCCUGGAUGAUGGCGUGUGAUGGAUACACACCUCACGUCCUCUGCCUUGUCCCAAAGACUGGACAGCUCUGUGCCCUGUUGCACUGUGUCUCCCUGACUGCUCGAUGUGAUGGACCAUUAGUUGCCCACGGGGUGUCCUGAUUCAUCUCAGCUUUUUUUAUUGGGUGCUUCCCUUCCUGGCCUGCUAUCCCCCUUCCUGUAGUGGGACCAGCUUCCAAAUAAACUACUUAC
Capra hircus (goat) is the source of this 3590-nucleotide long non-coding RNA. RefSeq lists it as uncharacterized. Lineage: Eukaryota; Metazoa; Chordata; Mammalia; Artiodactyla; Bovidae. The record is from RefSeq and is a predicted model, not a curated record. The transcript is spliced from 3 exons.